Molecule: long non-coding RNA, 207 nt
Filed under: Prunus persica (peach)
Lineage: Eukaryota; Viridiplantae; Streptophyta; Magnoliopsida; Rosales; Rosaceae
Description: long non-coding RNA (PPER_LNC001249)
Source: RNAcentral
UAAUGAACCACUUAAUUUAUUUCACCCGAUGAUUUCUGUUUCAUGCUCUAAGAAUUGGCCGUAUACCGUAGUGUACUCUCUCUCUCUCUCUCUCUCUCUCUCUCUAUAUAUAUAUAUAUAUAGAUAGCUCAAAGGCUUCAAGCAAUUUGCCUCCAAAUAAUUCGUCUAUAAUUAGAAUUUGGAGGAUAUGAGAUUGUGACAGUGCAG